This 305-nucleotide ribosomal RNA is filed under the name uncultured bacterium. Its description in RNAcentral is "bacterial SSU rRNA". It matches the Rfam family "Bacterial small subunit ribosomal RNA", at positions 337 to 634 of the family's 1533-position model. The record is from RNAcentral.
UCCUACGGGGCGCAGCAGUAGGGAAUCUUCCACAAUGGGCGAAAGCCUGAUGGAGCAACGCCGCGUGGGUGAAGAAGGUCUUCGGAUCGUAAAACCCUGUUGUUAGAGAAGAAAGUGCGUGAGAGUAACUGUUCACGUUUCGACGGUAUCUAACCAGAAAGCCACGGCUAACUACGUGCCAGCAGCCGCGGUAAUACGUAGGUGGCAAGCGUUAUCCGGAUUUAUUGGGCGUAAAGGGAACGCAGGCGGUAUUUUAAGUAUGAUGUGAAAGCCUUCGGCUUAAACGGAGUAGUGCAUUGGAAACU